CGAGUGGCGGACGGGUGAGUAAUGUCUGGGAAACUGCCCGAUGGAGGGGGAUAACUACUGGAAACGGUAGCUAAUACCGCAUAACGUCGCAAGACCAAAGCGGGGGACCUCCGGGCCUCGCGCCACCAGAUGAACCCAUAUGGGAUUAGCUUGUAGGUAAGGUAACGGCUUACCUAGGCGACGAUCCCUAGCUGGUCUGAGAGGAUGAUCAGCCACACUGGGACUGAGACACGGCCCAG
This 239-nucleotide ribosomal RNA is filed under the name uncultured bacterium. Its description in RNAcentral is "partial 16S ribosomal RNA". It matches the Rfam family "Bacterial small subunit ribosomal RNA", at positions 92 to 334 of the family's 1533-position model. The record is from RNAcentral.